This is a long non-coding RNA of Aedes aegypti (yellow fever mosquito), 791 nucleotides long. RefSeq lists it as uncharacterized. NCBI's taxonomy places the organism in Eukaryota, Metazoa, Arthropoda, Insecta, Diptera, Culicidae. The transcript has 3 exons. The record is from RefSeq and is a predicted model, not a curated record.
GACAAAGUGACAGCUGACGCACACAUGUAACCGUUAGAUUUCUUCAUUCAUCCAUCCGCCUUCGACUUUGAUUCGUGUCCGUGGUGUGACAAAAAGAGGAAAAGUUAUAUUUUCCUCCCCGCAGUAUAAAUUCUUAUCAGCGCGAUUCAACCUUCUGAUAUUGUUGUUCCAUCUCCGGCCAGAGCUUCAUAUUGUCUGGCAACAAGUUGGGAAAAUCGCACAUACGUCAAAAGAGCAAAACGACAGACGAAAAGUCAGUCAGUCCAUAUCGAAAGACAGCAGCAGCAAAAAGUAAGGCAAUCGCUCCGAAUCAGCGCCACACAGUCACAGUGUCAGGAGAGCCUAGCAACGAACCACAAGUCGAGCGAUACGUCGUCGUGGGAGUGCGAGUGUGUGAAGAAAAAAAUGUCUUGAAAAAAAAAUCACUUUUAACUUGCGCCGAUUAGGAAAUGUGUAAUGUUUUUUGAAAUUGCUGUUCAAGAAUGCCGAUUCAGGCGCCACAAUGGACAGAAUUCCUCAGCUGUCCGGUUUGCUGCAACGAAUUUGCGGCAAAUCUUCGUCCACCAAUCAGUCUAGGAUGUGGCCACACCAUAUGCCGUACUUGCUUGGCGACGCUGCACAGGAAGCAGUGUCCAUUCGAUCAGGUGAGUUGGGUAAUUCUCCAAUAAGAUUUGCUAGUAAUUAGCUAGCAUGGUAUGAGUAAUCGGUUGUAUGGAAUCGUUUAGUGGAGUGUAUUCAGCCAAAUCAAUGUUUGAUUGCAUAUUUUGGGCUAAAAGCAACCGGAAACAAUU